AACUGGUAUUUCAGCAGCAAACUGGUACUGGUUGAUACUAUUAUUUUAGCGGAAGUCCAUCUUAUUUGCAUACCAAACAGCAAUCACCCGACGACUAUUAACCCACAGCUACCGGUCUUCCCAAAUGUCUGGCUUAAUGUGCGUAUAUGGUUAUAAACUUUUAUUUAUAUAAUUCACCUAUAUAAUUCAAUUAAUUAAAAAAUUAAACAUUUGCGACAUUCAUUUGUAUAAAAGGAUUAGCUUCACCACUUUGCGACACAGUUUAUAGUUGACUUCGUCGUAUUCAGCAGACAUGAAAUUCUUUAUCUUCUUCGCUUUGUUGAUGGUUCUUUUAGGCACCACUUUGGGUGAUGUAAUACAUGUUAUAGGUACCAAGAGACCAACAUUCCAAAAUCAACAACAGCAACAGAAAUUCGGAUCCAAGGCUCCCCAACCUGGCCGCUAGAUAUUUCUUAAGAUUGAUUGUAUGAGUUUGGAGUAUUUCUAUAAGAAGUAUUUGGUUUGAAUAAAUAAAAUAUUACAUACAUCUUAUUUAUAUAAA
Bactrocera dorsalis (oriental fruit fly) is the source of this 541-nucleotide long non-coding RNA. RefSeq lists it as uncharacterized. The record is from RefSeq and is a predicted model, not a curated record. The transcript is spliced from 2 exons. Lineage: Eukaryota; Metazoa; Arthropoda; Insecta; Diptera; Tephritidae.